This 1540-nucleotide ribosomal RNA is filed under the name Klebsiella variicola. RNAcentral's name for it is "bacterial SSU rRNA". It matches the Rfam family "Bacterial small subunit ribosomal RNA". The record is from RNAcentral. Lineage: Bacteria; Pseudomonadati; Pseudomonadota; Gammaproteobacteria; Enterobacterales; Enterobacteriaceae. RNAcentral also lists the same sequence under 2 other names.
AAAUUGAAGAGUUUGAUCAUGGCUCAGAUUGAACGCUGGCGGCAGGCCUAACACAUGCAAGUCGAGCGGUAGCACAGAGAGCUUGCUCUCGGGUGACGAGCGGCGGACGGGUGAGUAAUGUCUGGGAAACUGCCUGAUGGAGGGGGAUAACUACUGGAAACGGUAGCUAAUACCGCAUAACGUCGCAAGACCAAAGUGGGGGACCUUCGGGCCUCAUGCCAUCAGAUGUGCCCAGAUGGGAUUAGCUAGUAGGUGGGGUAACGGCUCACCUAGGCGACGAUCCCUAGCUGGUCUGAGAGGAUGACCAGCCACACUGGAACUGAGACACGGUCCAGACUCCUACGGGAGGCAGCAGUGGGGAAUAUUGCACAAUGGGCGCAAGCCUGAUGCAGCCAUGCCGCGUGUGUGAAGAAGGCCUUCGGGUUGUAAAGCACUUUCAGCGGGGAGGAAGGCGGUGAGGUUAAUAACCUCACCGAUUGACGUUACCCGCAGAAGAAGCACCGGCUAACUCCGUGCCAGCAGCCGCGGUAAUACGGAGGGUGCAAGCGUUAAUCGGAAUUACUGGGCGUAAAGCGCACGCAGGCGGUCUGUCAAGUCGGAUGUGAAAUCCCCGGGCUCAACCUGGGAACUGCAUUCGAAACUGGCAGGCUAGAGUCUUGUAGAGGGGGGUAGAAUUCCAGGUGUAGCGGUGAAAUGCGUAGAGAUCUGGAGGAAUACCGGUGGCGAAGGCGGCCCCCUGGACAAAGACUGACGCUCAGGUGCGAAAGCGUGGGGAGCAAACAGGAUUAGAUACCCUGGUAGUCCACGCUGUAAACGAUGUCGAUUUGGAGGUUGUGCCCUUGAGGCGUGGCUUCCGGAGCUAACGCGUUAAAUCGACCGCCUGGGGAGUACGGCCGCAAGGUUAAAACUCAAAUGAAUUGACGGGGGCCCGCACAAGCGGUGGAGCAUGUGGUUUAAUUCGAUGCAACGCGAAGAACCUUACCUGGUCUUGACAUCCACAGAACUUUCCAGAGAUGGAUUGGUGCCUUCGGGAACUGUGAGACAGGUGCUGCAUGGCUGUCGUCAGCUCGUGUUGUGAAAUGUUGGGUUAAGUCCCGCAACGAGCGCAACCCUUAUCCUUUGUUGCCAGCGGUUAGGCCGGGAACUCAAAGGAGACUGCCAGUGAUAAACUGGAGGAAGGUGGGGAUGACGUCAAGUCAUCAUGGCCCUUACGACCAGGGCUACACACGUGCUACAAUGGCAUAUACAAAGAGAAGCGACCUCGCGAGAGCAAGCGGACCUCAUAAAGUAUGUCGUAGUCCGGAUUGGAGUCUGCAACUCGACUCCAUGAAGUCGGAAUCGCUAGUAAUCGUAGAUCAGAAUGCUACGGUGAAUACGUUCCCGGGCCUUGUACACACCGCCCGUCACACCAUGGGAGUGGGUUGCAAAAGAAGUAGGUAGCUUAACCUUCGGGAGGGCGCUUACCACUUUGUGAUUCAUGACUGGGGUGAAGUCGUAACAAGGUAACCGUAGGGGAACCUGCGGUUGGAUCACCUCCUUA